This 465-nucleotide ribosomal RNA is filed under the name uncultured Verrucomicrobiota bacterium. Its description in RNAcentral is "bacterial SSU rRNA". It matches the Rfam family "Bacterial small subunit ribosomal RNA", at positions 338 to 795 of the family's 1533-position model. Lineage: Bacteria; Pseudomonadati; Verrucomicrobiota. The record is from RNAcentral.
CCUACGGGCGGCUGCAGUCGAGAAUCUUUCUCAAUGGGGGCAACCCUGAAGGAGCGACGCCGCGUGGGGGAUGAAGGGCUUCGGCUCGUAAACCCCUGUCAUUUGUGAGCAGGUGUGAUUGUUUAAGAGAUGGUUACAUAGAUAGUAGCAAAAGAGGAAGGGACGGCUAACUCUGUGCCAGCAGCCGCGGUAAUACAGAGGUCCCAAGCGUUGUUCGGAAUCACUGGGCGUAAAGGGUGCGUAGGCGGUAGUGUAAGACUUAGGUGAAAUCUCCAUGCUUAACGUGGAGCUCGCCUGGGAGACUGCAUUACUUGAGGAUUGGAGGGGAGACUGGAAUUCUUGGAGUAGCAGUGAAAUGCGUAGAUAUCAAGAGGAAGACCAGUGGCGAAGGCGAGUCUCUGGACAAUACCUGACGCUGAGGCACGAAGGCCAGGGGAUCAAACGGGCUUAGAUACCCCGGUAGUC